AUGCUGCCCUCCCCACCACUUUCUGUCGCCCGCCGCGCCGCCACGGCCGCCGCCCGCCACCUCCUCCCCUCCAUCACCUCGCUCAUCCUCGACCCGCCCGCCCCCAGCCCUGCCGUCUCCCGCCGUCGCGUCCGCCUAAUGCCGCUGCGGAACAGCGCCCCGCUCGUCUCCCCGCCGCCGCACGGGAGGAGCUUCGCGGUGGCCGCGGGGGAUGGAGGCGCAGAAGGCGAGGCUCCGGCGCUGGUGGUGGUCUCGUUCUACAGGUUCGCCGACUUCCCCGACCACGCCGACCUGCGGCGGCCGCUCAAGGAGCUCUGCGAGGAGCUGCGUGUUUCAGGUGGCAUUAUUCUUGCACCAGAGGGAAUCAAUGGUAGUUUAUGUGGAACACCAGAAGCUGUGGAGAAAGUUUUGAACUUUAUUCAAACAGACAAUCGGUUAAAAGGAUUGAGGGUGAUCCAGACACCUGUUACUCCAGAGGACGAGGCUAUCCAUCAUGGACAUACCAGCCAUUCUCCUGUUGGUCCUGGAGAAGAUGCACCAUUCCGAUGGGAUCAUGUCCGUGUGAAAUUGAAAAAGGAGAUAGUGAGUUUUGGAGACCCUGGUGUGAUGCCAACUAAAAGGGUUGGCAAGUAUAUAAAGCCAAAAGAUUGGAAUUCGUUGAUAAGCGAUCCAGACACCGUUGUCAUUGAUGUGCGUAACAUGUAUGAGAUACGCAUAGGAAAAUUCAAGAGGGCUGUUGAUCCAUGCACGGAAUCAUUUAGAGAAUUCCCAUCUUGGGUUGAUAAUCAAUUCCAGUUGGCUGAAUCUGAUAGUCACCAGUCAUCAGUAAAUGAUAACACUGUAACUGAGGGAGCAGAAGAUCUGAAUUCCAGUGGACCCAAAGAGCUACCACGAGUUGCUAUGUAUUGCACUGGUGGUAUUAGAUGUGAGAAGGCAUCGAGCUUUCUCCUUGACAAGGGAUUUAAAGAGGUUUACCAUCUGGAGGGUGGGAUAUUAAAGUACCUAGAGGAAAUCCCGGAAGCUGAAAGCUUGUGGGAAGGUGAAUGCUUCGUGUUUGACAAGCGUGUUUCAGUGGAGCACGGGUUAGCUCAAGGAACCCACAAACUUUGCUAUGGAUGUAAACAACCAGUUAGUGACGAAGACAUGGAAUCUCCUAAAUGGGAGUAUGGUGUAUCAUGCCCAUACUGCUUCUCCAGGAGAUCUGAGGAGGAGAAGGAAAGGGCAAGGGCUCGGCACCGGCAGUUUAAGACAUGGGGAGUUAUUGGUGGUCCUGAUAAAGGCAGGAGUCCAAAAAGGCUCGAAGCUAGCGAUGGAGUUAAGGAGGACAAACAGCCGCGCAACUCAGUGUGA
RNAcentral lists this ribosomal RNA (1350 nucleotides) under Triticum aestivum (bread wheat). RNAcentral's name for it is "partial small subunit ribosomal RNA". Lineage: Eukaryota; Viridiplantae; Streptophyta; Magnoliopsida; Poales; Poaceae. The record is from RNAcentral.